This 73-nucleotide transfer RNA is filed under the name Marmota monax (woodchuck). RNAcentral describes it as "tRNA.Ala". Lineage: Eukaryota; Metazoa; Chordata; Mammalia; Rodentia; Sciuridae. The record is from RNAcentral.
UGGGGUUGUGGCUCAGUGGCAGAGUACUUGCCCAGCAUGUGUGAGGUACUGGGUUCGAUAUUCAGCACCACAA